Molecule: ribosomal RNA, 446 nt
Filed under: uncultured bacterium
Lineage: Bacteria
Description: partial 16S ribosomal RNA
Rfam family: Bacterial small subunit ribosomal RNA
Source: RNAcentral
CCUACGGGUGGCUGCAGUCGAGAAUCAUUCACAAUGGGGGAAACCCUGAUGGUGCGACGCCGCGUGGGGGAAUGAGGGUCUUCGGAUUGUAAACCCCUGUCGUGUGGGAGCAAAUGAAAAAAAUAGUACCACAAGAGGAAGAUACGGCUAACUCUGUGCCAGCAGCCCCGGUAAUACAGAGGUCGCAAGCGUGGUUCGGAAUGAGUGGGCGUAAAGCGUGCGUAGGCGGUUUCGGAAGUCGGGUGUGAAAGGCGCGGGCUCAACCCGCGGACGGCACAUGGUACUGCGAGACUAGAGUAAGGGAGGGGGAACCGGAAUUCCAGGUGUAGCAGUGAAAUGCGUAGAUAUCGAGAGGAACACCCGUGGCGAAGGCGGGUUCCUGGACAUUAACUGACGCUGAGGCACGAAGGCGAGGGGAGCGAAAGGGAUUAGAUACCCCAGUAGUC